ACGGCACAACCACACAGCGGAACAUGCAGCGGAACCACAGAACUGUGCAGAAUUUUUCUGUGUGCCAACGCCAUGACGUUCCACGCUGAGGUGUGGAGUUUCUCUGGUUUCUUCACCAGUUAACCUGCGCAUACGCCACUUCCUCACAACAGCAUGAUUUCUGGGCUGGUAGCAGCGAGGUGGGGAGAGUUGCGUGACUUUCUGAAGGUGCACGUGCUAUCGUCCCGAAUGACACAACACACUCCAGGUAAACCAAGGGACUAAAGGGACUUCACCUCUUGGCUGUCAGUAGAUCGUCCUCUUCAUAUUCCAGGCGAAGACCAACUUUCCAAUAAUGUUUUGUACCUUGACAUGUUUCAAAGUCGUUUACUGUCAAUAAAUGUCUUAAAAUGCA
Ornithodoros turicata is the source of this 394-nucleotide long non-coding RNA. RefSeq lists it as uncharacterized. The transcript is spliced from 2 exons. Lineage: Eukaryota; Metazoa; Arthropoda; Arachnida; Ixodida; Argasidae. The record is from RefSeq and is a predicted model, not a curated record.